GACGAACGCUGGCGGCGUGCUUAACACAUGCCAGUCGAACGGUGAAGCGCCUUCCUUUUUGGUGGGUGUGGAUGAGUGGCGAACGGGUGAGUAACACGUGAGUAACCUGCCCCCUUCUUCUGGAUAACCGCAUGAAAGUGUGGCUAAUACGGGAUAUUCUGGGUCUGUCGCAUGAUGGGUCUGGGAAAGAUAUUGUUUCGGUGGGGGAUGGGCUCGCGGCCUAUCAGCUUGUUGGUGGGGUGAUGGCCUACCAAGGCGGUGACGGGUAGCCGGCCUGAGAGGGUGGACGGUCACACUGGGACUGAGACACGGCCCAGACUCCUACGGGAGGCAGCAGUGGGGAAUAGUGCACAAUGGGCGAAAGCCUGAUGCAGCGACGCCGCGUGAGGGAUGGAGGCCUUCGGGUUGUGAACCUCUUUCGCCAGUGAAGCAGGCCUGCCUCGUUUGUGGGUGGGUUGACGGUAGCUGGAUAAGAAGCGCCGGCUAACUACGUG
RNAcentral lists this ribosomal RNA (494 nucleotides) under uncultured bacterium. RNAcentral describes it as "partial 16S ribosomal RNA". It matches the Rfam family "Bacterial small subunit ribosomal RNA", at positions 28 to 507 of the family's 1533-position model. The record is from RNAcentral.